Molecule: ribosomal RNA, 501 nt
Filed under: uncultured bacterium
Lineage: Bacteria
Description: partial 16S ribosomal RNA
Rfam family: Bacterial small subunit ribosomal RNA
Source: RNAcentral
AUUGAACGCUGGCGGCAUGCCUUACACAUGCAAGUCGAACGGCAGCACGGGUGCUUGCACCUGGUGGCGAGUGGCGAACGGGUGAGUAAUACAUCGGAACGUACCUUAUCGUGGGGGAUAACGCAGCGAAAGCUGUGCUAAUACCGCAUACGCCCUGAGGGGGAAAGCGGGGGAUCGAAAGACCUCGCGCGAUUAGAGCGGCCGAUGCCUGAUUAGCUUGUUGGUGGGGUAAAAGCCCACCAAGGCGACGAUCAGUAGCUGGUCUGAGGGGAGGAUCAGCCACACGGGGACUGAGACACGGCCCAGACUCCUACGGGGGGCAGCAGUGGGGAAUUUUGGACAAUGGGGGCAACCCUGAUCCAGCAAUGCCGCGUGAGUGAAGAAGGCCUUCGGGUUGUAAAGCUCUUUUGUCAGGGAAGAAACACCGGCUCUAACACAGUCCGGGAAUGACGGUACCUGAAGAAUAAGCACCGGCUAACUACGUGCCAGCCGCCGCGGUAA